AGUUAAGGCAGAUGUGGAGGCACAAUGGGUGACACCAGACACACACCAAGCACAUUAUGUUCGGACAUUCAAUCAUGACAUGAUCCAUGUGGAUGCUGUCCAUUGAGGAAAGAGUUUGUUCCGAGGUUUCUGGAUAGAAUUAAUUCCAAAGAUGGGAAAAAAUGCACAUCCAGACAAGGAGCAAGCAAAAAGACAAGGAACUUGGUGCAGAGAAAAGCUGUGGCCAUUAACCCCUGUGAACAGCUUCAUGCAGUCGCUGAUUGAGUUCGAAUGGACGACUUCAAAGUAAAGGCCACUGUGGUCUGUCUGCCAGUUUAAUGCAUUUAUUUUUAGUGUUAAAUGAAAUUCAAGUAGAAUAUUUAAAACUAUGGGCCAGUGUUCUUUUUACCACAGUGAAAUGUUACCUUUUAGUCGAUGAUGGACUUUAAACUGAAAACUUCAAACUAUGGAACAGUGUUCUAUUUGCCAGAGUUAAAUAUGUUACAG
Non-coding RNA from Paramisgurnus dabryanus, 486 nucleotides. Lineage: Eukaryota; Metazoa; Chordata; Actinopteri; Cypriniformes; Cobitidae. The record is from RefSeq and is a predicted model, not a curated record.